GCUCGGACUGGCCCACCGAGCAGCAGCCGCCCUUCGCUCCUUCCUCGCGGACACCAUGCUCCAGUUUCUGGUGAGUGGAGCUGCCCCGCAGGGGCCCGGGGUGGCUUCGGGGCCCUCGAGGGCUCCGGGGCCGGGCUGCGGGGCUGUAGGGGUGUGCGCGUGGGUCCGCGUCCCCGCAGCGCCCGCUCGUCCCNUCCCCUGUCGGGAUGGGCUGCGGGUUUUUGUUUCUGCCGGGCGCCCAUCCCUUUGCCGUACUUGUUCUGCAGUCAUUCAAGUCACGCCAGAACUUGGAGGCGUCAGCAGGCAUUUUCAGAGCCACUUCUGGGCCGUCCCGGCGGAUUGUGUAAUCGUGGUGUUAAAGCUUCUGGGGUCCUUAAUGACUUCGCGGCCUCCCCUCUUCUGCCCCCCCGCCCCCCGCACCCCAAUCCCUGCCGGAGAGCCCUGCUGGUUGGGUUUUUGAGAACGGAAGAGGGCGGGGAGGGCCAGGAAUAAACUCUAAAUUAGUAAACCACCCCACGAGGCGCAGAAACACAAGGUCGGAGUUAGAGGCUUGGGGGCUGGGGGGGAGGGGACCUUGUCAGGCCUUUUAGAGCUUCCAGACUUGGAGGAUGGCUGGUUGCUGGCCUGAGUCAGACCCCGGUGUGCAAGCAACUCUUCCAAAGUGCUCAUUUUGGGGGGGAAAUGAGUGUUACUAUGAGCAAAUAAAUUCUACCUCCUGGCUCUUUAUUUCGGUGGAAAACUGGUUUUCUGGCGACGCUGAGUGUAUUUCAAAGAUUGCCCGGUGAAGGUUUCAGGACGUCUCGCCAAACAUUUCCAAGUGAAAGUCUCUCUUCCAAGUUUUUGAGCCACACUUGAUGCUUUCAACCUCUGAUUCUGACAAGAAGCAGGUGUUCCAUUGUCUUCCUGGUGGACACGUUCGGUGCCCUGGUGAGAAGAUGCUUUCCCACAUGCUGUAUUCUUUAUUAAAAGGAAUAAAAAAGUGCCUUGUUUGGGUUUUCUUUCUUUCUUUCUUUCUUUCUUUCUUUCUUUCUUUCUUUCUUUCUUUCUUUCUUUCUUUCUUUCUUUCAUGGUAAUUGGUUUUUAAAAUCUCUAGGUGGAAAAGAGGUAUCCUUGAUAUAAACUGCCCAACUAGGACAGGGCUGUACCCUUUGCCUCUGGAAGUUUCUCCAGUGUCCUAACUAGGUGUUAGUUUAGGGGGCAAUAGAAAUAAUUACUGUCAUUUAGUUGUAGGAAACACAAAGGUUAAAAACAGUAUCAGUGGCGCCUGGGUGGCCCAGUCGGGUAAGCAUCCAAUUUCCCGUUCAUGUCAUGAUCUCACGGUUCACAAGUUCGAGCCCCGAAUCGGGCUCUGGUGCUGACAGGUCAGAGCCUGGAGCCUGCUUCAGAUUCUGUGUCUCCCUCUCUCUCUGCCCCUCCCCUGAUCAUGCUCUGUCUCUCUCUUUCAAAAAUAAAUAAACAUUUAAAACAAAAACAAAAACAGUAUCAGCCCCAAAAUGUAAGAUGAUAGCAUUGAGACUUCUACAGCUGUAGCUUACUGAUUCCAUUAUACUUCAUAAGUGCUUUUGCAGAGUGAAUUUAUUUGGUUUUGGAAUAGACUUUUGCUGUGUAUAAAUAUGCAUGUAUCUGAUUUGAGGAUUCAGAAUUCUCAGCAUUCAAGGAGAGAUGCUGCAUCCGUCCGUUAAAUUCCUAGCUCGGAAGUAACUGGAACGCGGAUGCUCUCUUGCCCCCUUGUUCUCCCAUCUCCUCAUCGCAUCUUUUGAAAGACGUGGAUAGUAUUACUUUUCACCUUGAUUUUACCUCUGUCGAAUGAUUCACUAAGUCUCUGAACUUGGGCAAGUCUUUCUCUUGCUUUUAGCCAUUUUAUUUAUAAAAUGGGUUGAGGGGUGCCUGGGUGGCUCAGUCAGUCGAGUGUUGGUCUCUUAAUCUCAGCUCAGGUCUUGAUCUCAGGGUUAUGUGUUCAAGCCCCGCAUUGGGCUCCACACUGGAUGUGAAGCCUACUUAAAAUGACAACAACAACAACAACAACAACAGUGGGUUGAAGCAGGUGAUCCCUAAGUUGUCCUCGAGCUUUUAACCUGUGACCAGCCAUCUUGUCCUGGUGCUUAAGCAGUCAGACGCCUGGUCUCGAACCCUACCUAGCUCCAUCGUUUUUAAGCUAUGGGAACUUGGGUAUGUUAUUUAAAUUGUCUGUGCUUCAGUUUCCCCAUAUGAAAAUGGGAACCUACCUCAUGGCUUUGUUGUGAGGAUUAAAAAUGAGUUAACACAUGAAGGUGUCUUAACCGACACUUAAUAAGGACUCAGAUUUAUUCAGUUUCUCGCUGGAACCGGUCCUAAAAAUGGGGACUCGUUUACCCUCAGAAAGGUAGGUGAUGGGAAGAGUUUUGGAAGUAAUGAAAUGGAUACAAAGUUAAACCUGUGCAUGGUCAUUGCACAUUCUGGAACCCUCCAAGACGUUUCCUACAGUUGUCACUUCCUGGAACACCAGUUGAAAACCACUGCACCCGAUUGUGUUGCUUUUAUAUUCCUUUCGUUGUCCAUUCCUCCGUGGAUUAAAACACUCGCCGAUCAUCCAUACUCAAAACUUGUUCCCGUGGUCCUGCUGCCUCUUUUCCCUUUAACGCAGUAGCUUCCUUGAGUGCAGUAGGUUCAGCCACAGUUGUUGUAAGGAAACUUCUGAGGCUUUUGAGGGAGGCCUGAUGUGAUGGGCACCGCCGGGAGCCCUGCGUGCCCUGCCUGCGGUGCUCUUCCCGGGGUCAUGGAUUGCCCUUGUUACCUUCGAAGUGGCAGCCCUUGGUGCUCUUAAUCACCUCCUCCUCAAUCCCCCAUCUCUUGGCUUUUGGAUCCUUCCUUGUCCGACAUUCUUUAACACUAGAACACACGCGGCUUUAUUUUUGGGGAAGAGCCUGCACAGAGUGAAGGCGACUGACUCUGGUGCUGGCCCCUCCCAGGGCUGAGGGGAACAGUAUCUUGGGGCAGCAGCUGGGAAAUGGUCCUAUCUAAUCUCGCCUGCUGGCACUGGCUGCUUUUCCCGUCUUUUGGUUUCUAGGUGUUUCUCAAGGCUCAGUCCCUGACUCUGCUCUUCUCUUCACACCCACCCUCAGGGAGUGUGUUCCUUGUUAUACAUCACCUUUCCUUUUUGCUGCUUCUCGGACUACCUUGCGUCCCUUUCUCUGAGCUCCAGUUCACUGUCAUCAACUGUCUGCUCAGCAUCUCUUGCCCUACCCUCUAUCUCAGGUCCAACACAUCUGGACCCGUUGCCUCUUCCAUCCCCCACCCUGCGACCCAUGCCCCACACCUGACUUCUUUCUCUUCUCCAGCCCUUUCUCAAAUUUGAAACGCUGACAUAAUCUUUGAUUUGUUUCUCUCCUUCAUUCUCCAUAUCCUUAUCAGCUAUGCCUAGCACAUAAAUGUCCCUGUGUAGCCUUGGGUGAGUUCCUUAACUGCUCUGUGCCUCAGUUUCCCCAGAAUAAACUGGGCAGUAAUAGUACCUGCUUUAUAAGUCUGUGAGGAGCAUGAGCUAAUUCAUGAAAAAGAGAAUGCUGCCUUGCACACAAUAAGCACUCAGUAAACAUUAGCUAUUGUUUUAGGCCAUUGGGUCUUCAUUACUCACCUUACAAAAGUUCCAUCUUUAUGUUCCCCAGUGACAAGUUCGUAGAGUAGGUCUUUUUUACUCUGCCUUUGCACUAGUUACACCAGCCUAGUUGGUGUAGGAAUGUAGGUUUUGAGUUGGAAGAGUGAUUGUAGGUUAUGUGGUUUAACAUGCUGACACUUGGUCUCCACUACUAACGGGGUGUCUGGUGUAUGUUUUGUCACCUCCCGUUAAAAUAGGCUCACUAUGCAGCACCUGGGUGGCUCAGUUGGUUAAGCGUUCUAUCUCCCCUUCUCUCUGCCCCUUACCUGCUUGUGCUCUAUCUCAAAAUAAAUAAAUAAACUUAAAAAAUUAAUGAAUAGAAUAGGCUCACUACUUCCUCAGAGGAUCUGUCAUUUUUGGUCACCAUCUUACACUAUUCUUGGUGUUAAAGAGCAGUUCUAACUCACAUGACAACACUUCACAUAUCAGAACAGCAUUACCUUGGUACCUUUCUCUAUCCCCUGACCCCCAUCAGUCUUGUCUUUAGACUAAACAUCUCUGAUUCUUCCAUCCAUUUUGUAUGAUUUCAGGUUCAUGCUGGUUAGCCUUCCCUGAAUAGUCUAGUUUGGGGUUGGUUGGUUGGUUGGUUUGUUUUGAAACUUGGCCCCUCCAUCCAGUCUGAUCAGCCUUAGAAAAGUAAGGCUGCCUCCUCUACUUCUACGUUUCCUUUGAUGCCCUUGGUGUUCUGUCCGCCCUUGCAGCUGCCUGAGUAAUCCUCCAGUCUUGUCUUCUCCACGUGCUCAGAAACUGUCAAUGGUCUUUAUGUCCCUCCAUAUCAAAGAGUAACCACUUGCACUUGAUUUUCAAGAUUUGCUAAUCUGACCCCAUUUUCCCUUCCUAUUGCCCUUCAACAUAUCUCCUUUGCUUUUGAUUGAAUAGACUAUCUUACUGAUGUGGACCAACCUAUGGACCUUCCUGCUAUCAGACCUUCCCAUACGGUUUUCCCUUUGUCCUCUUUUUUGCCUCCCCCUUCCCCAACAACUCUUAAUGGCUCAAUUCCCAUCUUUUUCCAUGAGCUUUCUUUAUUACCUUAAGCUCCUGAAAUGUUGACACUGUUAGGAUCCAUCUCCCCAUUGAUUUACAUCUUUGUAUGUCUUUCAUCAGUGUUUUAUUAUCUUCUCAAUAAUAGUCUUGUACCUUGUUUUUUAUAUGUGUAUUUCCAGGUACUUUUCAGUUGUUCUGAGUGGCAUCCUUUUUAAAAUUACAUUUCCAAAUUCAUUGCUGAUGUAUAGAAAUGCUAAUUUGGGUGUAUUGAUUUUUUUAAAUGUUUAUUUAUUUAUUGAGAGAGAGAGAGAGAGAGAGAGAGAGAGAGAAUCCCAAACAGGCUCCACGCUGUCAGCGCAGAGCUUGACGUAGGGCUCGAUCCUGUGAACCGUGAGAUCAUGACCUGAGCCGAGAUCAGGAGUCUGACGCCUUACCAGCUAAGCCACCCAGGUGCCCCUGGUGUAUUGAUUUUUGUAUCUAGCAGUCUUCCUUAUCUUUUAACUCCCAUAGUUUGUACAUUCACUUGGAAGUGAAUCAGUGAAUGCCAUACUGUGAAGGCAGUCUUACCUCCAUUGAAGGCAACAAGGACAAUUUUGUGCUCUUUUCCAAUUUUUUUCCGUAAAUCAAGUUAGGACUUCCAGUAGUAGUAAGAGUGGAUAUCCUAGUUUUUUUUUUCUGCUUUUAGUGAAAAUGCUUCUGAGGUUUUAGUAUGAUGUGUUUCUGAUAUUUCCUUACAGAUUAACGAAAUUCUCUUCUAUUUCUAGUUUAAGAGUUUUUAUUAUGAUUGUCUAUUGAAUUUUGUCAUGCUGUUUACCCAUAUGGUGAUCAAGUGAUUUUUCUCUUUUAAUGUGUUCAUACAGAUGACAUUAGAUUUCUAAUAGGAAGCACUUAAACUAUGUGGCCCAUUCAGACCAUCAUUUGGUGAUGCGCUCUGUUUUGUUCACUGCACCUUCAUGCGUUUUAGUCUUGUCUUUCUAGAGUAGACCAUCAGUUCCAGGGGAAGAAGCAGCACACCUUAUAUUUAGAUUUCCCAAGCACAUGGCACUUAGGCAAUACCAUUUUAUUUCAUUUAUUUAAUUAGAUAUUCCUCUUCUGCCUGAUGACUUCUCUCAGAUAUUCAUAAGGUACUUGAAUAUUUGAAUCAGCUUCUUUGAGAACAGGAAGACUGGUUCUACCUGAUAGACCUCUUUCCAGAAUGUUACAGCUAACUUUUUCAUGAAUGUCCCAAUUUAAUUUACUGGCUCAAUUGAAGAAUUAACAGCCGCCCCCCACCCCCGUGACCCCCCGCCCCGCCCCUUCUUUCUCUAAGGAAAAUUAUUGAGUAUAAAAUCUAGGUUACAUCUUAAAAAAUGCACUUCUCUGUGGUUGUAGUAGAAAAGCCAUAGGUUAUAUCCUCAGCAGAGUUUUGUUUUAAUGAAUAUAGAAUGUGGGUUUUAUUAUUACUUGAAGCAGUUUUGAAACACAGUUGAUAAUUUCUCCACAACAAGUCUUAAAUGUUUAAAGACUAAGGUACAUAAAGGUGGAUUUUUUUCUUGCCUCCUUGAAAUGGAGCAGUCUUCAGACAGGUUCUCUAGGUGUGUAGAUUAAACUGAGAAAUUGGGGCACCUGGGUGGCUCAGUCGGUUGGACGUCUGGCUUCGGCUCAGGUCAUGAUCUCCUGGUUCGUGAAUUCGAGCCCGCAUAGCGCUCUGUACUGACAGCUCAGAGCCUGGAGCCCGCUUUGGAUCCUCUGUCCCCCCCUCUUUCUCUGCUCCUUCACUGCUCAUGUGUACUCUCUCUCUCAAAAAUAAGUAAAAAAAACAUUAAAAAAAUGUGUAAAAAAUAAUAUAAACUGAGAAAAUUAUCAGCAUAUCUUUUAUUAAUGCUAGAUAAUGUAUACUUUUGCUUUUAUUGUCAGUGUGUAGCUUUUAUCAUCUGAGACCAUAAAAUAUUUUUGGGUAUCCUUUUGAAUGCUAGUUGUAGCUAUAUUUGCUAAAUAAAAUGAGAUUAUUUCUAUUAUUAUUUAUUUUUAAUGAGAUUACUUUUAGGUUUCUGAAACCCUUGUCAGUAAAUACGAGAUGGUUCAGAUUCUGUGUCAUAACUUGGGUUUGAAAAUGUGAUUUGAUGAGUCCUCCUUCAGACUUGUUGGGUAGUGUUCAGUCUGGGUUACUGCCAGAUGCCAUUCUCAGGUCAAAACUGUAGCUUUAUGUGCUGACAGACAUAACUUUCUGAUCGGGGAAGGGGUUGAGCAGCAAAUGAUAAGAGUCAGAUUGCUUUGGAGUUUGCUUACUUGUUUUUAAGACUUCGUGCUUCUUGAUGUUGAUGCACCCUUGUGACUAACCUGCUUAUGUGUCCUUACAUAAAAAAAGAGUUGAUUUGCUGUGGUGUUCAUAUACAGAGCCACCAGGUGAUGGCAGUGGUCCUCAUUUUUUUUCACUGUAACGUUUCCAUUCUUUUUAAACAUUUGUCCAGUCCGGAAACCUUGAAGUUGUCUUUGAUUUCCUGUUUUAUCCCAUGUGGCUGAUAUUUUACCACAUCUUAUUGACGUUUAAUAUAUUUUUUAAAAUAUUUAUUUAUUUUUGGGAGAGCGCAAGCCGGGGAGGGGCAGAGAGAGGGGGAACAGAGGAUCCAAAGUGGGCUCUGCCCUGACAGGCUGACAGGCUGACGAGCCUGAUGUGGGGCUUGAACUCACGAACCGGGAGAUCAUGACCUGAGCCCAGGUCAGACACUCAUUCGACUGAGCCACCUAGGCACCCCGAAUUCAGUGGUUUGUUUUGGUUUGGUUUGGUUUUUGUUGUUUUGGUUUUUUGUUUUUUUGUAUGUUCAUAGAGUUGUGCUGCCAUCGCGGCUAUCUAAUUUUGUAUCUAGUAUUUCAUUGUACCAAAAAGAAACUGCAUACUCAUUAGCAUUCAUUUCUCAUUCUUCUCUUCCACAGCCCUGGACAACCACUAGUUUAUUUUGUGUUUUUAUGGAUUUGCCUAUUCUGGACAUUUCCUUUAAGUGGAGUCAUAUAAUAAGUGGUCUUUUCCGACUGCCUUUCACUCAGUAUAAUGAUAUCAAGGUUCAUCCAUGUUGCAGUGUGAAUCAGUCCUUCAUUCCUUUUUGUGGCUGAAUAAUACUAUAUUGUAUGGAUAUACCACAUUUUGUUAAUCCUUUUACCCGUUUAUAGCACUUCGGUUGUUUGUAACUUGGCUAUUAUGAGUAUUCCUGCUGUGAACAUUUGUCUGCUGGUUUUUGUGUAGAUGUAUGUUUCAUUUCUCUUGCAUAUGUACCCUAAAGUAGAAUUGCUGCAUCAUACAGUAACUCUGUGCUCAACUUCUUGAGGAAUUGCUAAACUGUUUUCCAAAGUGGCUGUACCCUUUUACAUGCCACAUUCUCCACAUCCUUUUCAAAACCUGUUCAUCUUUUGUACUAAAGUCCUCUAGUGGGCACAAUGUGGCACCUCAUUGUGGUUUUGAUUUGCAUUUCCUUGAUGACUAGUGACACUGAGCAUCUUUUCAUGUGCUCAUUGCUCAUGUGUAUCUAUCUGAUUUGGAGAAGUGACUGUCAAAUCCUCUGCUGAUUUUUAAGUUGGGUUGUCUUUUUAUUUUUUAGUCACCAGGAUUCUUAUAUUCUAGAUGUAAGUCCCUUAUUGAUAAGUGAUUUGCAAAUAUUUUAUUCCAUUCUAUUGGGUUGUCUUUUCAUUUUCGUGAUGGUAUUCUUUGAAACACAAACAUUUUUAAUUUUGAUAAAGUCCAAUUUAUCUUUUUUUUUUUUUUUUUUGGUCACUUUUGCUUUUGGUGUCAUAUCUAAGAAACCAUCGCCUGAUGCAGAUCUUGAAAAUGUGUUCCUGUGUGUUCUUACAAGAGUUUUUUGGUUCUAGCAUUCACAUUUAGAUCUUGACCCUUCUCAGAUAGUUUUUGUUUAUGAUGUAAGGUAAGGGUCCAUAUUCACUCUUUGGCAUGUAGAUAUUCCAUUGUCCUAGCAUUGUUUAUUGAAUGUAUGAGCACCUGUGUUAAAAAUCACUUGGUGCCUGGGUGGUUCAGUGAUCCAUUGUUGGUUUUGGCUCAGGUCAUGAUCUUGUGGCUUUGUGAGGUCAAGCCCCAUGUCAGGCUCUGCGCUGGCAGCAUGAAACCUGCUUGGGAGUCUGUCUCCCUUUCUCUGCCCGUCCCCAACUCGCGCUAUCUCUGUCUCUCUCAAAGUAAACUUAAAAAAAAAUAAAAUUAAAAAUAUGUUUUAAAAAAUCACUUGACCAUAAAUGUAAAAGGUUUUCCUGGACUGUCCAUUCUGUUUUGUUGCUUACCGUUGAUUUUUAUUUUAUUAUUGUUAUUUUAAGUUUUCAUUCAUUUUUUAAUUCCAGUAUAGUUAACAUAGAGUGUUAUAUUUCAAGUGUACAAUAUAGUGAUUCAGCAAUUCUGUACAAUACUCAGUGCUCAUCAAGAUAAGUGCACUCUGAGUCUUCACCUAUUUCACCCAUUUCCCCCACCCACCUCCUCCCUGGUAACCAUCUUUUUGUUCUCUAUAGUUAAGAACCUGUUUGGGGGAUCAUCAUUGAUUUUUAAGAAAAACAAUUCAGUCACAUUUGCUUCUGUCCUCUCUGCUGCCACACGAAUCUGGGCCUUCCAUGACCUGCACUUACUCAUUAUUCAGCCUUUUUUGUGUAGAGCUGCUGGUUGAAUACUUCUGAAAGCAGUGGUUUCAUCACGUUGCUGCUGGUAGAGGGUAGCCAUUGGUGUUCCACCAAGAUCGCAUGCGAACUAAACUCCUUGGCCUGUUUCUUGAGGUUCCCUCAGCCAGGCCUACCCAAGUCUCCAUACUUAACUUCUGUUUCUAAAUUCAGAUCAUCUUCUAAUCAAUCCUGUUUCUCUUAGGUAUCACAUCUUCAUAUUUUAUGCCUUGAUUCUCCACAUUCAGUUCCCUUCCCAGUUUAAAAGAUAACACUUUCUCAGCAUAAUUAGAGACUGUAAUAACAAGUUGAGGUACCUUGAUCUCUUUCAGAUAUAGUUUCUUAGAAGAAUCACUUCUCUGUCAUUCAUUUGGCCACUUAAUGCAUGACCCAGUUCUGGUUUGUCCUGCCUCUGUUACAGUCAAGGUCCUGUACUGGGUGUUGCCUUCAGUUGUUUUGUAACUGUUUUGUUUAUAUGUAGCUUUUCUUCCUAUACAUUGUACAAACUCUUUGAGAGUGUAGGGACAUUUUAUAAUCCUUUCACAGGGCUGAAUAUGAAUGUACAUUCAGUAUGUAAGGGUCUUUGAUCUUUUAAUCAAAACCUUUGGGGACCAGAUGUAUUGGGAGAUGUUUUUAAGAUUUUAGAAAGGUUUAAGCUGCAUAUACUUUGUUACUUAACAGCCCAGUAGCACUCUGGGAUAGCCUCUGUUAUGACAUACAUUAAAAUAUUUCCUGUUACGCCUGUUCUCCAGUGGGGUGUAGGGCAGGAUCCUAUGUUUAAAGAUUGCUUUUUUCUGUAGCAAAAAGUGAGUUUCCACACUGAAUGUGAUAGAGAGACUAUAAAUAGUCUCAUAUCAGUUCAGGUCAGGUGUGAUUUUGCUGCCAAAUGAGUUACAGUGAAACAGUUUGAGUAGAGUUCGAGUUUCAGAAUUGUGGGUAAGGGAUUGUGGAGGGACGUGGGUUCUAAGUGUAAGGUGUAAUUAUAGAGCAGGGACAUGCUGUCUCCUCUAAUGUGUGGGGACCCAGGCCGGUCUGGACUUCCCUCCUUGAUUCUUCGCUGCAGCCUUUUCCUCCCACCCAUUUGUCCUUUGACCAAUUCGCUCAUGUCACUCCUCUGUCCCCAGAUCCCUGGUGUUUUGCCAUUUUUUUUGUCUCCAGUGUGCUUGUGGGAAGAAGCUACAUAUUCCUAAAGUCUCAAGAUGAUUGCAGAAAGGAUGUAAUAGUAAUUCAUUUAGUGUCAAGCUUGGGAAGCCGUCACUUUUCUUUUCCUUGCACUACCUUCUCUUCUCUGCAGUGAACACAAUGGGGGACCAGUGAUGUGGAGGGGGCACCGUGGGGGUGGCAUACAGCCAUCUGGAUGGACUCCUGGCAAGGCAGCCAGGUCUUGGCCUGGAUGAAGUUAAGCAAUCUUGGCCUGCAGAGAGGUUUCAGAUUCAUUCAAGACCUUCUGUAAUCUGGCUCCAAUCUAACUUUGUCAGAUUAAUGAGUCACCAUUGCUCAGAUUGAGAUUUUAUGUUUUUAUAUUUCUUAUUAAUUUUUUUUCUGUGUAAACUUGCCUAUUGAGCAUCCCAUGAAGAACAUAUAAUUGCUUUUCUGGCUUCAUGCAUUCCCCUCAACAUUUCUCUUUUCUUUUAAAAAAAAAUUGUUUUUUAAUCCUUAUUUAUUUUUGAGAGAGAAAGAGAGAGACAGAGACAGAGAGAGAGCAUGAGCAGGGGAGGGGCAGAGAGAGAGGGAGACACAGAAUCUGAAGCAGGCUCCAGGCUCUGAGCUGUCAGCACAGAGCCCGACGCGGGGCUUGAGCUCAUGGACCACGAGAUCGUGACCUGAGCCGAAGUUGGAUGCUUAACCGACUGAGCCACACACAGGCGCCCCUCAAACAUUUCUCUUAUGUGACAUUUCUCUUAUGUAUGUAAUUUUACAACAUCCCAGUGAUAGACUGGGCAGUGUUCUGAAACUGGAAUUGGACAUGACUUGUCUAGAAGCCCAUAGUUUUUGUUUUGUGUUGUGUUUUAAAAUAACUGCUAUUUUUUCACGUGCCUAAUGGCUGGUGACCUUGCCAAAAGGAAGCCACAUUAGAUAUGCCGUAUUUAUUUUGAGACACACAGGGUAAGAACCAGGAAUCCUCAAAUGUUGGAGCUGGAAGGAACAUUGCUAAUAUCAUGUUUUAUAGAUCAGGAAACAAAUCAGCUAAAGAUACACAGCUAGAUAGUGAUAGAAUCAGAACUCUAUUUUUCUUGAAAAUUUGCAACUUUAUGUUUCCUCUGCUUGGUUGCUUGGUGUUAGAGCUAAAAUUUUCAUUUGAUUUUUUUUUUCUCAUCUUCUAAGUAAAUUUAAUACUCUUUCCGGAUUUGGAAAACCUCUGUCUAUCUGGUUUCAACGCACAGAAGUGAAAAAAAAAAUCAUUUUGCUUCUUGGUACCACCUUGGUAAAACUAUGUCUUCACAAGAUGUGUCUAAUUAAUCAAAUUAUUAGAAAAUUGGUCUAUGAUUAGAGAUUGGAUAGCCUCAUGUAUGCUUAAUUUAACUAACAACAAACCAAUUUAAAGUGUGCUUUUGGUGUUUAAAGCUCAGUAAGGCUGUAUUCUGUUUCCCCAUAUAUAUCUCUGACUUGAAGACAAGGUCAGAUCACACCAUUUAGAACUGGUGGUGGUAAGUGCCACACUUUUUCUGUUAACCUCUGCUGUGUAUUGAAUAGGAGCAACACUGAUUAUAGAAAAUGGUGGGAAAAAAAGAAAAACCAGAUGCCAGUUUGAAUUUAUGAAAUUAGAAAUUAGGUGUCCCGUUGGAGGGGCUUAAUUGUUGGAGGAAAAAAACCCAGGGAAUUACAGAUCAUCAUUAGAACUCAGAGUUUAAGGAGCUUUGGUUCUUUUGUUGUCAAUGGAGUGCUUUAAGUUUUCAUGAAAUGGUUUUGUUGUUGUUAUUGUUGAAGAAACCAGUCACCCAAUGGGUUAAACAUUUAUAGUUCUCUAAAAUCAUGCCUGUCUCUUCUCACUGAGAAAGAGCUGGGGAGGGGACCUGUGCUCCCCAUAGGUGGGAAGUGCUCUGCCCAUUAGGUCCCAUCCAGGCAGAGUUCUCUCGGUUGGAUGUUGGAGUUUCCUAUGCUGUUCUCUCAUGAUAUAUCUUUGUUUGUGAGUGUGAAUCUAAUUUAGGUUGUUCUGUGUUUCUUUGUUGUGAAUGACCCUGAAAAAGUCCCUUCACUACUUGAAAUAAGUCCCCCCCCCCCGACUUGAAAUAAGAAGAGAUUGAACUGUGAAAAUCUCUUCAUUUUCUAAGAUCCUACCAUUUAGCUGAGUACUUUUUUUAAUCAGAUAUUUUUCAUUUAAUGUAACAAGAAGUAACAAACCAAAGAAGAAAGAAAGACAAAAACCAAAUUGCCUUCAACAACAAAGUCAUCACUUUGGCUUGGGUUUCUAGAACUGACAGUCAAGUGUUUAUGGAGGUUGUGAGGGGACAGGGAGAAUCUAGGGUAGAUUUGCUCAGUGCUACCAUUUAUUCUCACUUCUGUAUGCUCCUUAACGUUUUGGGAGAGUAUUUCUAUGUUAUUUUACAGAAGGAAACAGUCUCACACUACCUAGCCCUAGGCUGGACACGGGGGUCGUUAACUGUCCUGAGCUCCUUAGACUGUUGUCUUUAUAGUUUGGUUUGGUAUCAGGUGGCACAGAACUUCGUAUCCAGUGUAACUCUUCCUGUUCUACUCUUUCAGCUUGGAUUUACUUUUGGCAACGUGGUUGGAAUGUAUCUGGCCCAGAACUAUGACGUAAGUGACCAUAUCUGUGUCCUCCCGUAAUUUGUAGUGACUUGUCUUUGUUGAAGUCAGGCAUGCCUUCCAGCGUAAAUGAAGUCCGUAGGUCUCAGGAAAAUGUCCUGAGUUUUGUAGAAGGAUUUUCUGCUGUUUGAAAAAUACACCUCACAAAAGCAUCUGUCCUCCGUAUCACCACAAGAGGGCAAAAUCUCAUCAAUUUAGAUGGUCUUAUGAUCCUGAGCUGUGCUGGUUAGCCCAGAAUAAUUAACUACUGACUUAGAGUCUUCUUAUAUAGUUCUGUGGACGAUUAUGUGAUGAGUGGAAAUUUAAGAGUAAUUGGAUCAUCUUUUCAGUUAUAUCAGACUCAUUUUAUAGAAGGGGAAGUGGAAAAGCAGGUGACAAAACUGCCCAUACAUGGGGCCUCUGGAAAGGUUGUUUUAAAGAGAGGGAAAGGAAGGAAGAGGUGGGAAGAGGGAAGGAAGGGAAAUAUAUUAACUUUUGAUUUGUCUGUGGUGAAGCUAUUAGUGUGACAAAAGAAAUUCUUUGUCAACCUUCACUUGAGUUACAUGGUUUUCUAGGCAGGAACUUUAUUAAUUUAUAUCACCUUUAUUGUUCGUAUGCACAACUUCUAUUUGGCAGUGGAUUGAGGUGGUCAGUGAGUAUAUAAAAGGAGAAGUCAGAAUUUAGCUUCUGAGGAGGGAACAUACUUCAGUUUACAGCUUCGAGAUCCUUCUUAUGCAGCCAUGAGGCCAAGUCUCUUUCAGAGGAAAAUAAAGACUUAACAACAGCCCUUUGUUGUAGGAGGAAGAGAAGUAAAAGAGUAUCGAUUAGGUAGCUGCAAAAUUAUAAUCAUCUUUUUUCUCUUUAAAGAUACCAAAUCUGGCUAAAAAACUUGAAGAAAUUAAAAAGGACUUGGAUGCCAAGAAGAAACCCCCUAGUUCAUGAGGUGGACCCAGCACUGCUUUCCGGAUAUACCGAUUCUGCUCUUCUUGAGGCCUCCUUAUCACCUGAACCAAAAAGCUUUAGUUGUAAAUUUCAGCCUCAGCAGUCUUCCUCUCUGCUAGAUCCUAUGCUGCCUGAGAGCAACAGUUGAGGCUUCGCAUUCAGAACUACCCUUUUCCAACAUCCUCCCCCCUUCCCUUCCUCCUUCCAGCCACUUGGGACGGCCUGAGACUGGAAUUACGGUGCUUGAUUAGUAAACGUGACCUCUCCUUUAUUCUUUGGGGUUUCUAGUGUUUUCUAAAGAAAAAUUGAUGAGUUUUGUAUGGCUGAUCAGAUUUCACAGUCUAACAAUUAUAAUGGGUGUUUAAACAUUUGUUACUAAAUUAUGUUGUUUCACGGUAAUUAAAAUUAAAGUCCAGAAGC
This 14344-nucleotide long non-coding RNA is filed under the name Lynx pardinus (Iberian lynx). The record is from RNAcentral. Lineage: Eukaryota; Metazoa; Chordata; Mammalia; Carnivora; Felidae.